ACAAUAUUGUGCAAUAUUAUGCUCUUUGUACGAUAUACAGCAGUAGUGUGUGUAAUAUAUACAGAUGAUUUGAUGACUGACAGUUCUGAUAAGGCAGUACUUAUAUAUGAACCAGGGUGCGAAGAUCAAUGGUGAUUUUUCCUACACGGUUUCUGGUUCUUGUGUCGUACAAGUCCUGGGGAGUGGGCAGGGGGGCACCAAUUAUUUUUUAAUGUAGAUUAUUAUCAGUUGGCUACUGUAUAAGCUGUCCACCCAAUCAGAAGUUAGAAAUCAUGCUGUGUUUUUUUUUUUUACUUUAAUUGAGUGUGAAUUUGAAAUUUGCUGUUGCCUUUCUUGUUUGUGUAUGCAGGCCUGGCUAAAACUUCAGCAAUGUGCAUCUUGAAGCUGUCUUUGUUGCAUUUCAUCCGCUAACCUCUGUUUCUCCUCACCAUAACUUUAGAGGAUUAAGACCUAACUGUGAUCCAGCAGGAAACUCAUAAAAGUCCAGCUCAUGAACAACACGACGAUGGCAUUUCUCAGCCAGUAAUAACUGCUCCAGCAUGCGUCGAUAUGCUUCUCUGUGCUUCUCUUUAAGCUUGUCCAACUGAGUCAGAUGGACAUACCACCACAGGACACAUUCAUUUAACAACAAACAGUAUACAUAACCAAUGAUUAAUGUUUGCAUUCUGACAGCCAAUAUGUACUUAUUAAACAAUUAUUUAGUAACA
Molecule: long non-coding RNA, 707 nt
Organism: Tachysurus fulvidraco (yellow catfish)
Lineage: Eukaryota; Metazoa; Chordata; Actinopteri; Siluriformes; Bagridae
Exons: 2
Source: RefSeq, a predicted model, not a curated record